GAUAGCGAGGGAGCCUCGGAGGGUAUAUAAGGGCUGCGACUCUAUCUCCCGUCACCAGUGUGUCUCAAGCCUCAGACAUGACCAGAGUCCUCGUCCAGGUCCUCCUGCUGGGGCUCGUCAGCCUCGCCCUCCUGCACCCAGGAGCGGCCGAGCAGUGUGCGACCGUCGUCGAGGACCACGAGUGGCAGGGGAACUACAUCGCCAACUUCUCCUCCCAGACCGCUGUGCCCUUCAAGGGCCUCGACAUCGUCUUCACCUUCGACGGCCCUGUCACCGGCAUGUCUUACUUCGAAGGGUCGACGGAGCUCAUCGACGACACGCACGUCAGACUCAUCAACAACGACAAGUUCUACGAGACUGGAGCGUUCGUCCACUUCGGGUUCUCGGUGUCGUUCAACGGUGACACGAAGCCUUUGGUUGUGGCUAUUGAGAUGAGCGGCCAGGACGCCUGCGACGGGACGCUGGCCUGGACCACUGAGUCUCCCUAUGUACAGCCCUGCGAGCCCACUGGCAUGGGCCGAUACGACUAUGCUCAGGCCCUGUGCAUGUCCAUCCUGUUCUACGAGGCUCAGCGCUCAGGUCACCUGCCCGAGGACCAGCGCGUCACCCCCUGGAGGUGGGACUCCGCCCUGGACGAUGGUUCUGAUGUUGGCCACGACCUUACUGGAGGCUACUACGACGCUGGAGAUCACGUCAAGUUCGGCUUCCCGAUGGCCUACACCGCCACAGUGCUGGCCUGGGGCCUCCUCGACUUCCCUCAAGGAUACGCCGCCGCUGGUCAGACGGAGUACGGGCGUGCAGCUGUCAAGUGGGCCACCGACUACUUCCUCAAGGCCCACACUGCUGAGUACGAACUGUACGGCCAGGUUGGUAAGGGAAGUCUGGACCACGGGUUCUGGGGUCGACCUGAGGACAUGUACAUGGAUCGACCCUCUAUGAAGAUCGACAAGGAUGCUCCAGGUAGUGACCUGGCUGGGGAGACAGCAGCCGCCCUCGCUGCCGCCUCCAUCGUCUUCAAGGAUGUUGACUCGGCCUACUCGGCCGAGCUCCUGGGCGUGGCCGAGGAGCUCUAUGCCUUCGCCGACGAGUACCGUCUUGAGUACCACAAUUCCAUCACCGACGCUGCAGAUUUUUACAGGUCGUGGAGUGGGUACGGGGACGAGUUGCUGUGGGGGGCGCUGUGGCUGUACCGCGCCACAGGAGACGACACCUACCUCACCAAGGCUCAGGCGGCCUGGGACGACUUCUCGCUGGGGGAAGGCGCCCUCCAGUUCUCCUGGGACGACAAGAAGGCCGGCGCUUACGCGCUGGGGUCACUGGUCGACCCCAGCAACACCAAGUACGCGGACGCCCUCAAGGCGUUCCUGACUUACCUGAAGAACGACGCCCAGUACACACCUGGAGGCCUGGUCUUCCUGGACCCUUGGGGCUCGAACCGUCACGCUGCCAACGUCGCCUUCAUCUCCCUCUGGGCGGCCAAGUACGGAGACCCAGCUGACGCUGCGGCCAACAGGGAGUGGGCUGACGGUCAACUUGGCUACAUCCUGGGUGACUUCGGUCACUCCUUCGUCGUGGGCUUCGGUGUAAACCCGCCGUCGCAUCCCCAUCACCGCUCCAGCUCCUGUCCAAUUCCACCUCAGUCUUGCUUUGAGAACAGCUGGGGCCAGAACCAGCCAGGACCCAACCCGCACACCCUCUACGGCGCCCUCGUCGGCGGCCCCGACGCGUCUGACGGCUACACUGACGUUCGUACGGACUACCAGCACAACGAAGUCGCCUGCGACUACAACGCCGCCUUCAGUGGAGCUCUCGCCGCUAUGGUCGAGCUUAACUAGACGUCGACCUCCUGAGCCAUGAGUCUGGUUGAGUUCAACUAGACGUCGACCUCCUGAGCCAUGAGUCUGGUUGAGUUCAACUAGACGUCGACCUCCUGUGCCAUGAGUCUGGUCGAGCUUAACUAGACGUCGACCUCCUGAGCCAUGAGUCUGGUUGAGUUCAACUAGACGUCGACCUGAGCCAUGAGUCUGGUUGAGUUCAACUAGGCGUCGACCUGAGCCAUGAGUCUGGUUGAGUUCAACUAGACGUCGACCUCCUGAGCCAUGAGUCUGGUUGAGUUCAACUAGACGUCGACCUCCUGAGCCAUGAAUCUGGUUGAGUUCAACUAGACGUCGAUCGACCUCCUGUGCCAUGAGUCUGGUCGAGUUCAACUAGUCGUCGACCUCCUGUGUCAUGAGUUUGGUUGAGCUCAACUAGACGUCAACUUCCUUUGCCAUGAGACUAGUUGAGCUCAACCAGAUAACAACAGAUUGUCACAUGAAAUUCGUCGAAAUCCACCUAAUUAAACGUUCAUGGAAUCAGUCGAUCAGGGCUAAUGACCUCAGUAAUAAUCAUACAAAAUUAUGUCUAUUGAAUUCGUUUCUCAAAUAUAUAUUGAAAAAAAUG
Procambarus clarkii (red swamp crayfish) is the source of this 2442-nucleotide non-coding RNA. The record is from RefSeq and is a predicted model, not a curated record. Lineage: Eukaryota; Metazoa; Arthropoda; Malacostraca; Decapoda; Cambaridae.